CAGGAGGCAGCCACACAGUCAGGAUCCUCAAUCCCUGUCUCUUGGGAUUUUCCCAGCCUGCCCUGGGACAGGCCGUGGUCCUCUUUUGAUGGCCUGGGGCAUGCUCUCCACAAGGCAGAAAUUCUCCUUGUCUAGGACUGUGCAUCCAACCUAGAGGGAGAAAGAGCCACUUGACCGUGGAGAAACCUGGCAGACACCACCUUAAUCAAGUGACCUCAGUUCACAUGAUGGUACAAAUUCAAAGUCAAGUAGAUGCCGCCUGGGAGAGUCCUGCCACAAGUGCACCCGGCCAUGAGGAAAGAGCAGCCAAACCCAAAUUCUACAAAAUAACCGACCCGAAAUCUCGAAAGGUGUCAGGCUGUGAAAGGAAGGGAUGUUUACUCUUUGAACGUGGCUACCAUGCUGUGAGGAAGCCCAAACUAGUCCACCUCGAGAGCCUAUGUGUAAGUGGUCCAGCCAACAGCCCUGCUGAGUUCCUGCCGACAGCCAGCAUCAGCCACCAGGAAUGAGAGCAAAGCCUUCUCCAGAAGACUCGGGCCCCACCCACAGUCAUCCCAGCCUUCGAGUUUUCCCAGCUGAGGCUCCAAACAUCACAAAGCAGAGUCGAGGCAUCCCCGAUGGACCCUGUCUGUUCUUGACCUACAGACUCUGGGCAUCAUAAAGUGGUGGUUUUGUGCCACUAAGUGUGGGGUAGUUUGGCGAAGAUGGUGAACUGCCAAAGGAGGCAACUUGGUGGAAGGAUGCUUUGGAAAGUUCACCCUGUCUGCAGCGGGGACAGUGGCUGGGGAGGGCUGAGGCUGGAGACAGGGGGCCUGUCAGUGAAA
Hippopotamus amphibius kiboko is the source of this 824-nucleotide long non-coding RNA. RefSeq lists it as uncharacterized. The transcript has 3 exons. Lineage: Eukaryota; Metazoa; Chordata; Mammalia; Artiodactyla; Hippopotamidae. The record is from RefSeq and is a predicted model, not a curated record.